RNAcentral lists this ribosomal RNA (1390 nucleotides) under metagenome. RNAcentral describes it as "bacterial LSU rRNA". It matches the Rfam family "Bacterial large subunit ribosomal RNA", at positions 1461 to 2925 of the family's 2925-position model. The record is from RNAcentral.
UAAACACAGGGACACAUUUGAAGUCUCGGAGCCGGGUGUUGGUUCCGGUAGUGAUCGAGGGAAAUUAGUACCGAAGUCCGGGAUGGAAGAUGGCGAGAAAAGCUGUGUGUAUUUCUGCGGUGCCCGUACCGCAAACCGACACAGGUAGGUAGGAAGAAGAUUCUAAGGCCAACGGGAGAAGGGUUGUUAAGGAACUCGGCAAAUUGACCCCGUAACUUCGGGAGAAGGGGUGCUCCAGAGAUGGAGCCGCAGAGAAUCGGCCCAAGCAACUGUUUACCAAAAACACAGGUUUGUGCUAAAUCGAAAGAUGACGUAUACGAGCUGACGCCUGCCCGGUGCUGGAAGGUUAAGAGGAGAUGUGCAAGCAUUGAAUCGAAGCCCCAGUGAACGGCGGCCGUAACGAUAACGGUCCUAAGGUAGCGAAAUUCCUUGUCAGGUAAGUUCUGACCCGCAUGAAAGGCGUAAUGAUUUGGGCACUGUCUCGACAGCCCGCCCGGCGAAAUUGUAGUACCGGUGAAGAUGCCGGUUACCCGCGACAAGACGGAAAGACCCCAUGGAGCUUUACUGUAGCCUAAUAUUGGGUUUCGAUGUUGCAUGCACAGGAUAGAUGGGACACUAGGAAGCAAGUGCUUUGGCAUUUGUGGAGUGGCCGUUGGGAUACCAUCCUUGCGAUAUUGGAAUUCUAACCUGCGCCUUUGAAUCAAGGCGGGGGACAUUGUUAGGUGGGCAGUUUGACUGGGGCGGUCGCCUCCUAAAGAGUAACGGAGGCGUUCAAAGGUUCGCUCAGCUUGAACGGAAAUCAAGCAAAAGAGUGCAAACGCAGAAGCGAGCCUAACUGCGAGACUGACGGGUCGAGCAGUAACGAAAGUUGGAGUUAGUGAUCCGGUGGUAUGUGAGUGGAAAUGCCAUCGCUCAACGGAUAAAAGUUACCCUGGGGAUAACAGGCUGAUCUCCCCCAAGAGUCCACAUCGACGGGGAGGUUUGGCACCUUGAUGUCGGCUCAUCGCAUCCUGGGGCUGUAUUCGGUCCCAAGGGUUUGGCUGUUCGCCAAUUAAAGCGGUACGCGAGCUGGGUUCAGAACGUCGUGAGACAGUUCGGUCCCUAUCUGUCGUGGGCGCAGGAUAUUUGAUGGGAGCUGUUCCUAGUACGAGAGGACCGGAGCGGACGUACCUCUGGCGCACCAGUUGUUCUGCCAAGGGCAUAGCUGGGCAACUAUGUACGGAUCGGAUAAACGCUGAAAGCAUCUAAGCGUGAAGCCGACCCAAAGAUAAGAUAUCCCAUUGUUUCAAACAAGUAAGACCCCUUGAAGACUACAAGGUUGAUAGGCAUGAUGUGUAAGUGGAGUGAUCCAUUCAGCAAGCAUGUACUAAUAGGUCGAGGGCUUGACCAA